Molecule: ribosomal RNA, 369 nt
Filed under: uncultured organism
Description: bacterial SSU rRNA
Rfam family: Bacterial small subunit ribosomal RNA
Source: RNAcentral
CGGAGGGUGCAAGCGUUAUCCGGAUUUACUGGGUUUAAAGGGUGUGUAGGCGGACUAUUAAGUCAGGGGUGAAAUCCCGGGGCUCAACCUCGGAACUGCCUUUGAUACUAUUAGUCUUGAAUGUUGUUGAGGUGGGCGGAACGGGUCAUGUAGCGGUGAAAUGCAUAGAUAUGACCCGGAACACCGAUUGCGAAGGCAGCCCGCUAAGCAACUAUUGACGCUGAGGCACGAAAGCGUGGGGAUCAAACAGGAUUAGAUACCCUGGUAGUCCACGCCCUAAACGAUGGUUACUCGACGUUGGCGAUACACUGAUCAGCGUCCAAGCGAAAGCAUUAAGUAAUCCACCUGGGAAGUACGUUCGCAAGAAUG